GCUCGUUAUGCGAAUUCCUUGUUAUGAGAGGUACUCGUUAAGCGAGGUUCCACUGUAUUCUCAGUUUUAAGCAUUACAAAUCAAAUUACUGCUGUUGAGAGUUUUCUGACAUGAGGAGCUAAAGACUAUGAAGUUGUAACAUUUUCAUUAAUAUAUCAGGUAAUAUCUGGUGACCCGGAAUAGACGGGGGAGGAAGUGUUUAUGGUCUACUUCAAGCAUUAUUCCAUCAUCUGGAGCCAGUGAAGAAAACCACAACUUAAAGGAAACUGAAGAAGAAACGAGUAUUACCUUAUAACACAGCGGCCACGAUUAGUUGCAAAAAUGACAAUUGGAGCGAUAGCACUCUCCAGAGCACGGUGAAGAACUGUAAACUUCAGAGCCAACCAUGGGACAAAAUGGAACCUAUCAAUGAAGCCAGCAAUUGAAAUUGAUCCUUGAGAAAUAUUCAUAAUCUGAAAACUGAACGUAAUGCAGCAACAGACUUAUGCACACACUGACAUUUAACUGAUACCAUUAUGCUCGUUUUUGUCAAUCAGAGUUCUUAAAAAAAGUUUUUAAGAGUAAGUGAUCCCUGGGCCCAAAGCACCAUCCUGUGAAGGUCUCUUCAUUCUUAAAUUUGGGAGUAGGCUGUCAGUUUAAAACUCAGCCACUUCGUAUCUAAAGAAAGAGGCCCUGUUACCCACUGAGUAGGAGGCCAGAUAGACUGCAGAGCUGGUGUGGAUAUAAAAAUUGUGAUGACAGAGACUGUUCCCCAUACAUUACAGAUAAGAGCAAAAAAAAAA
Cryptotermes secundus is the source of this 782-nucleotide long non-coding RNA. RefSeq lists it as uncharacterized. Lineage: Eukaryota; Metazoa; Arthropoda; Insecta; Blattodea; Kalotermitidae. The transcript has 3 exons. The record is from RefSeq and is a predicted model, not a curated record.